This is a long non-coding RNA of Epinephelus moara (kelp grouper), 6513 nucleotides long. RefSeq lists it as uncharacterized. Lineage: Eukaryota; Metazoa; Chordata; Actinopteri; Perciformes; Serranidae. The record is from RefSeq and is a predicted model, not a curated record. The transcript has 3 exons.
GAAGGAGGAAAAAGGAAAAAACCUUGUGCAGCCGCAGAGCAAAGAGUCCUGUUUGGUGACUAAAUGUGAUGAUAUUUUGUGUUGAAGUGUGAUAGAACUGUCGUUAGGAACGGAGUGUGAAGCGAAACUCACCUGGUAGCACCUGGUAGAAGUGAGACUGAUCACGGGAGCAAUUCGGACGAGUGUUUCCCGAUCUUUCUGGACUAUUCUGGCUGGUCUUUUGUGAGGGACGAGUUCUUCGGUUCAAUUGUGAUUCCACACUACCGCCACUGCCGUGGAGAGGCUCUUGGUUCAACUGCAACCCGCAUCACCGCCAUGCUGCAUGGAGGCUCUUGGUUCAACUGCGACCUGCAUCACCGCCAUGCUGCAUGGAGGCUCUUGGUUCAACGGGAUCACCGUGUGGAUACCAGUGUGGUAGGACAGGCUCAGUCCUGAGGAGUGACACCCUUUUAUUUGCACUUUAUUUUCUGAGAUCUCAGUAUUUAUUUUUUUUUUUAUUCAUUUUCUCUAUUUUUUUACAUUUUUGCUAAGAAAACUGAUUGAUAAAGGAAAAAAAACCCUGUUUUCUCAUUGGAGGACCCUGGAAGACAAUAAAUAAACUGAGUAAACAACGGAAAACCGGGAAUAAAAAGGACAAUUUAACACAUUAAAAGGGAAAGAAACAUUUUUUUACUUUUUUAUUUUUUUUGUCUUUAUUUUCUUAAUACACCGGUACCGGUCAGGUAAUUUUCAGUUCAUACUGUGAAUUUAAUUUCAUUUAAUGUGGAAAAAAUGCUCAAUGUGUGGAAACUGAACGUUCUAAGUUGUGUGAGUUCUAAGUGUUGUGUGAGUUGGAAAUCAGUUGCUUUAAUGCUCAGUGCUACCGCCAAUCUCCUUACCCGAACCUAAUGAAUAGACAGGACCUGAUAGAACCCGAGUAGACUGAGGAAAGGUUACACUUGCUUACUCUCAGACUGCAGGGUGGACAGAUGAAGGGACGGCAGGAUGGAGUGAUGAAGGGGAAGAGAGAUGCCAAGAGAGGGAACCAUGUGACGGCAGCAGCUCAAACAAGCUGCCUAAUUGGGCACAAGAGGCCUCACAAGUUUGGUGGCAGAACACUUCAAAAACACUUCUGAUAUAAACACAUCCAGGAGAGGCACAUAACGGGGCAAGGAUAAUUACACACGAUUGCAAACACACACAUUUACAAAUGCAAAACAGAGAGAUGAUGGAGUCAUAAACUGGGAUAUGAUUAAUUCUGUCAGAAACACAUGAAGCAGCACACACACACCCACGCACGCACACACACACACACACACACACACACACACAGGACUGUUAACAAAGUUCAAGGACGGUUAUACUGUAACAGAGGGAGAAAGAGGAUUUGUGUCUUUCAGUGACAUAUGCACGUACACACACACACACACACACACACACACACACACACAAACAGAGAGACAUGCAGGCUUAAUAUAAUAGGAGUCCCUUAGAUCUCAAAGCAGUUGCAUUAUUUAACAGCAGGACUAUGAUAGCCUCCAGUGUGUGUGUGUGUGUAUGUGUGUGUGUGUGUGUGUGUGAGACUCUCCCUUUCCAGCUAUAAAUACACCUGCAUCUGAGAAUCCCCCUGUUCUGUCUCUGUUUCCCUCUGUCUCUCCUUUCCUUUCAUUUCAUUUCCUUUCCAUCUCUCUUAAUCUGCACUGGAACUUUUGCACUACACAGUGAUUCAUCUACCAUUUGAAAUAUUUCCUGACUUCAACCUAAAUGGUACCUGGCGUGAAAGCAAAACUCAUUAUUAUAGGAAAGUACAGGGCGGGAAAAGCCUGCUGUUUUUUAUUAUUCAAAACCUGCCAUCAAAGUGAAAUGUAUGGUUUUGUCAUAUAAGGGGAGGUGUGACUUUACCUCUGUGUCCCCUAGAAUGGAUCGUCAGACCAUCAUUACAAGUGAUCCAAGAACUUUUAAGAGGUAAUGCUAUAAAAGCCAUAUCUACAGGAGUCAACAAAAUUAACUGUCGUACCUACAGUGUGUGAUAUCACUGCCAUAGUCGUACGCACAGUAGCCAGCUUGUAGAUAUGCAGUAGUUCUUGGACAGACCUACACUAUUUGGUCCUGUCUGUUAUGCUGUUAUGACAAGCAUGUCUGAACCAGCUGUGCCCCCUUGACUCCCAUGAACUUGCCUGUUCUGGCAAGCCGUGACGUUGAAAUCGCCAUUGUGUAAGGCUUAUGGGAAAUUCAUAAAGGCAUUAAAGGCUGCUAAAACAGUUAUACUAAACUAAGCACAAAACGUAAGGACAUUUUUGUUUGGUAGAUUAUUUCUUUGUUGUAACAAUGCUUCUUGGCUAUAAGUCUUAUACCGUUGGAAAGCCUGUUUAUUUCCCUUUUAAAUGGUCCCACAUUUGUAAGGGACAUGCAUUUGUGGGAUGAGCAGUAAAGCUGAGUAUGUGGGUUGCACCUGAAUAAUUUGUCAAAUCUUCUCUGCCAAUGCCAAACAGCUUUGUUUGCUGUUGACUCUUAUUUGGUGUUGUUUGGUGGAUUGGAUGACUGGAGUCUGAAGAAACAAGACAUAUUGGCUAUUUAACAAUUUAUUCAUUUAACAAACAGGAGCCUCAGUAGCAUGUGGAAGAACCAUACACAGCCACAACUGCCUGGCACCUCCUCCUCAUGCUGGUUACCAGCCUGGUCACACACUGCUGUGGGAUGGCAUCCCAUUCUUCAACCAGCAUUUGUCGCAAGACAGCCAGCGUGGUUGUGUUGGUCACUCUGGCAUGAACAGCACACCCAAGCUGAUCCCACAAGAGGUCAGGACUACUGGCGGGCCAUUCCAUCCUCUCCACUCCCAAAUUCUGGAGGUAGUCUCUGAUAAACCCCGCUCUGUGGGGGCGAGCGUUGUCAUCGUGUUUGGUCCCAGACUGUGGAGAUAUGGGAUUGCCACUGGUUGCAGAAUUUUAUCUCGAUAUCUCUCUGCAUUGAGAUUGCCUCCAAUGAUGACAAGCCUUGUUUUUCCAGUGAGGGAGAUGCUGCCCCACACCAUCACAAUGCCUCCACCAAAAGAUGUUAGUCGGUGCAGCAAUCAGCAAAGCGUUCUCCGUGUGUUCUCCACACUUUGACUCUACCUUCCAAACUGCCGUAGGCAGAGUCUGGACUCAUCGCUGAACAUAAUGUUCCUCCACAUUUUCAAGUUCCAGUGCAUGUGUUGCCGACACCAGCGCAAACAGGUCUGAUGGUGAAGGGCAGUCAUGGCAGGCCUCCUGGCAGCCCUAUGAGACCUGGGACUGGCUGUGUGUAUUCUGUUCUGGAUUGUCUGGGCAGAGAGACGUCAGCCAUAUCGUCCUGGAAACCUUGACUGCAAAUCUGUACAAGACUGCCAACGGUUCAAAGUGCUGACAGGAUGAGGAAACGGUCUUCUUGGGGUGCUGUCUUCUUGGGAUGCCCACUUUGCAGCCUGUCUCUGACACUCCCUGUUAUAUGGAGCUUGGCCUCCAGUUUGCAGAUGGUACUAGGGCUCACUCAAAAUAAUGCCACAACUUGGUUUUGCAGAACACCAGCUUGAAGUUGCACUAUUGCACAGGCCCUAUCCAGAUCCGUCAAACAUGGCAUGCCAAUUCUUGGAGCAGACACCUACUGACUGUAGCAUGGCCCAUGCUCACAGGUGCUGACAAUCAGGUGCACCUGGGGGUACCAGAAGCUCAAAACAAGAGUCAAUAGCAACAGCAACAAAAAAAAAGAAGCUGUUUGACAUUGGCAGAGAAGAUGUGACAAAUGUUUUAUGGGCGCAACCCACAUACUCAGUUCUGCUGCUCAUCCCACAAAUGCAUGUUCCUUACAAAUGUGGCCCCAUUUAAAAGGGAAAUAGACAGGCUUUCCAAAGGUAUAAGAUUCAUGCCAAGAAGCAUUUUUACAACAAAGAAAUAUUUUUUUUAUUCCAUGACUAUUUUGGUACAAACAUUAACCCACCAGUGUGCAGGUAGCCUUCCAGGAUUUUCUCGCCAAAUGGAAAAUUUACCCCAUUUGGCACUUGGCUAAUUUCCAACCCUGGUUGGAAAGGGGAGAUUCAAGACUUUGUAAUUAUAUCACUAUUGUUUUCAUACUCCCAAUAUUAAGUGUAAGACUUCACAUUACAUAAUGACUGUCACUGAGCCAUGACUGAGAAAAAUGCCUUAAAAGUUUGCAGUACGGUGGCUGCAAAAAUACUUGACAGAGCCUAUAGGCCUUCUAAACUGCAAGAACUGCAAACUAUACUGCAGGGGCUGUCCCGGGGUGAAAAAAUUGGACAGAAAAGCUUGGGGACACUUUGAUUUGGUAGCCAGCAUGGAAACGAAAACAAGCAUACCCAACAAGACUGAGAAGGAAGUUGAGAAAAUAUAUUUCAUGUCAGUAGAACUACGGUCUGUUUGACGAAGGAAGUUAGCAUACAGUUAGCAAUGGACUUCACUGACAAUAAUCACAACUUGGAUUAAUUUUGUGAAAAUCGUUUUGAUUAUUUUGAUCGUUUGUCCUUUACAGAAUAAAGGAAUGUAAAUAAUCGAACUGACACAUAUUUAGACUCUCUGACAGCUUCAACAGUAGGGAGUCACCACUGUUUUUCACAUAUCUCGUUUACCCGGUAAAUCGGAAUGAAUUAUACUUUGAUACUCAUUACACUUUCUGUAAAUUCAACUAAGCGAUGUAUUUGUGGAGAAUCUAACUGAGCUAACGAUGCGUAGCAUGCCUAUAUUGACAAAAGUUUAAACACUGUUGUUGUAUUUUAAUGUGCAUUGCUAAGCCGUUAAAAACUAACAUAAGUGGGGUGGGGUGUGAGAGGUUUUCAUAAGCCCCCUUUCCACCAACAUUUCCAGGAACUUUUCUUACCAGGAAUUUGUUUACCUGGGUAAAAGAAUUCCUGGUAAGCUGUGCGGUUUGCAUUUCCACCGCACCUCAAAGUUGCGGAAAAUUUAUUUAAAUUAGCGUGAUGACGUAGAUGAUGGGGUGAGUUCGUGUACAAAAAUCUCUAAAUGUUUAGAGUGGGUAAUUUUUUUCAUGUAAACGUGUACACGGGUUUCACCGCUGAGUGUGCCCUGUAUUUGGCUCCGCCAGCUUGGCUGGUUACGUGCUGGUAGAGAGUUGGAGCCAGCAGCUAAGUUUAAAAGUAUUUUAAAAUAAGGGUCAAACUAAGUUAGUCUACAUACAGACAGCUGUCAUUUGAGCUUAUUAGUAACAAUUGGCUAUCAGCUGAACUAGCGUGCUGUGUCCUUGUGUAAGACAUAACAUUAGUGUCGGUGGAUGAGAGACUGUGGGUGGAGCAUAUUGAAUAUCGCUGUCUACAUGUUUACAUGUUCAUGCUUGCUGAACACAUGUAUUGAUAAAUUAUUGGCUUCUUACUCCCUAAGGGUUAAUGUCACUUACAGUAACGAGUGUAGCUGCCGUCAACUGGAGUCAUUUUCAAGUUAUCUUCACUUUGUUUCCACCGCGGCCGCUCGGCUGUUCACCGGUUACCGUGUUGUGUCGGUGUGUGUGUGUGUGUGUGUGUGUGUGUGUGUGUGUGGAUGUGUGUGGAUGUGUGUAGAGGAGAUCAGCGCCGGCACAAAAGAACCGAUACCAUUAGCGCUGAUCAAUACUACGGUCUUUAAUAAUUUAGCUCUCUCUCUUUAGGCCUCUCAUGUCACUCUGGAACAAGCUGCCUGCUGACUUUGAGCACAACUGUGUCCACAUUUAAAAGCAAACUUAAUGUUCUCAUAUCUUCUUUUAUCUGUUGUUUUUCAUUGUAAAGCACUUUGAGUUUACGUGUAAUGAAAUGUGGUAUAUAAAUAAAAUUGCCAUUGCCAACUGAAAUCAGAUGUAAACCCAGUGUCCUGGUUUCUGCCUUGUUACUGUAACAUCAAGCCUUUCACUAAUUAUUUCAGGAAAACCAAGAGUGAUUGAGUGAGGGACAGUAGCACUCUCCAAGAGCACGGUGGUAAAGUGUUUGCUGCUAGCUUGUAAUCAUGGACUUGGUAAAUGGAUUUUCAUUAUUUCUAAAGCUUUUUUCUAGUCUUCUGACCAUUUGAAGCACUCUACAUGACAUGCCACAUUCACCCAUUCACACACUGGUGGUCCAGGCUACCAUACAAAUUACCACCUGCUCAUUAGUUAUACAUUCACAAACCAAUGGAACAGCCAUCAGGCGUGAUUUUGGGUUCAGUAUCAUGCCCAAGGAAACUUCGAAAUGCAAACUGGAGGAGCCGGACAUCAAACCACUAUUCUUCAAAUUAGUGGAUGACUUGCACUACCUCCUGAGCCACAGCUACUGUUACAUGCCUUUAAAUGCUUCGAAACUGGAUUUAUCCUCUGAAUUUGAGAGUUUGAGAAAAAAAAAUCAGACAAAGCCCCACAAUGACCAGAAAUUGAGAUCUUGACUUAAAUCCAAGUUUAUCUAGAAAUGAGUUUGCUACAUAGGGACUAUACUGAGUAUCAGAUUCUUUACCAUAUAUAAUUUUUUUUCAGUAUUGUAAGGACUGCACAUAUAUAAUUAUUUCCACUGUGGGAUCACUGUAUUAUUGCUACCAUUGUAUUUCAUAU